UAAGAAAAACAUUAAGUGGUUUCAAAAUUUUAAGGCUUUGAGUAACGAAACUACAGUUUAAGUGAGAUACAGCCAUUAAGUUGUUGACUUUUUAAGUGUUUAAGGGAUUGCAUGGGACUUAUAAUCAAAUUCAUUUGAAAUAAUAUAUAUUGUUGCAUGCAUCAUCACUCAAUAAUACACAUUACAGAAUAUGGUAGUAAUUAGGAACAACGUGAAAAAAACCAUCAAUCUCAAACGACUGGAAAGGUACUUUCAAAACGAGUGCUGUUUCCGCUGUAAUGUAAACAAAAGUUUUUUUCGGCCUAAGGAUAUAGGAAAACCUAUCUUGUUCAAAAUAACAGGUUUCCAGAAGCUCCAUGACCAUUCCAGUACCUUUUUUAUUUUCACUUGAUGUUAUUUCUGCAACUCUCCAAAACGAAGGGGGGGUUAGUUUAUUAGGAGACAUUUCCCUAAGAAAUACGGUGUUAGUUGCGCAAGUUCUUCCUGCAAUUUGGAAUUUUUUUGCUAAAUAUACGGUUUUUAUGCCAUUAUUUUGUAACAAUUCUUCCCAUUUUGUUUCUUUAAUAUCUAUUUCCUUCAAAUGCUUAUUAUGGAACAGUUUAAUCCCGCCCCCCAAAAAGUUAUUCUCUCCAUCAAUAGAUAUGCUAAGCGCUAACAUUUUUUGGUGACGAGAAGCAAGGCUGAACGGGAUAUUACAAAAAUUACAAUUUCUUUUCAUUACUUUUUUGAAUGGGGCAUUUUUUUACUCAUACCUGUAGCAGGCUGAAUAUCUGGGUGGGCCAAACAUUCUUAUUUGUUCCGUCAUGUGCAGCAGAGCAUGCAAUUUUGGUGUUAUAGCUGAUCCUGAGUCUUCUUUUGGAUAAAGACUCACAAAAGUGCUAUUGUGGAUUUUAAUCUUCAUUUCUAACUCUAACAAGUCUUUUUCGGCAAAGGAAUAGCAUUGCAGGCUUGAAAAAAUUUCAAGCAGCAGAAAAAAAUUCGCGAAAUAUGCAUUGUCGGUGCUUGAAACAUAUUCGCUUAAAAAAAGUGGGAGAAUUAAAGUUAAAGCAGCCAUUUCCGAAGUAGACAUUGAUAAUUUGGUUAAGGUCAAAAUUUCAUCUUUGCGUAACGGAGGAGGCCUUGUAAAUUCCCGUUGUUGAAUCACAUUAGAAAGCUUAGCAUUAAUUUUAUCUAAAUCAACCAUUUCGUUGGUUAAGAGUUUGUUGAACAUUUUACGAACUUCUAAGUUUUCAAUUCCCUCGUCCAGUAAAUGCAUAUUAUCGGAAACAAAACAUUUCGUCACGUCAAAAUAACUUAGCUGUGAAAAUAUUGAUUCUCCGACAACUCCGGUUUUCAUUGACAGAUUUCGUCUGCAUUGUUUGGUGAUUCCAGUUUUCAAAACAUCUUCAAGAUCUUUUGUGUGUGAUUCCUUACUCCUCAUGGAACAAUAAAUUUUCCAUGUCAGUAUUUUCAAUAUAGCAAAAACGACAUGGCUUUUUGGCUGAGGCAGAUUCCUUAAAUCCUGCCACCCAGUUUGAAGCUGGCUUGUCGCCAACAAAAUUCACCUUCAUUUCUUGUCUGUAGGUGAACACCAAAUUGGAGUUUGAGCAAAUCAUCAAUAAUUGGUUGAAGGAAUUGUUGUAAUCCAACUUCUAUCAAUAACUUUGAAUUAAUGACACCAAGAAGUUGAACAGACUUCAAUUGUGAACGCCAUUCUGGAGGAAGGUUCAAACAAGUCCAAUAAAACAAGGGUUGGAUAGUUCAUUAUCAUCUGCAUCGAUUUGAAAGAGGAGUACUUCUCCUCUACCUUCCUAGAGAACAGGAAUAGGAUUCAAAAGUUUAACAACUGCUUCAUGGACCACUCUGAUGGACAGAAAUUGCUUCAAAGCCUCUAGGAAAGGAACAAUGUAGCCUUUCUUUUCCAACUCAGCUAUGUUUUUUCGAAAUCCUAUGCCUUUUGUUCUCUUACUUUUCUUUCCAUUCCACGUAAAACGUCGACUUUUCUCAGUUAAUGAUACCUUUAGUGGGUUUACAGUAGGGAAAUUUCUUGACCCUGACUGUUCAAGUGCAUGACGAGUAAUUGUUGCUUCAUAAUUUUGAGUUUUUUUCUGAUUCUUGCAUUACAGAUAUGUACUCUAGUGAUUCAAGGAUAGGAAGAGGUAAGAUUUUUGAUAG
Molecule: long non-coding RNA, 2154 nt
Filed under: Daphnia pulicaria
Lineage: Eukaryota; Metazoa; Arthropoda; Branchiopoda; Diplostraca; Daphniidae
Description: uncharacterized LOC124326227, transcript variant X2
Source: RNAcentral